Molecule: unclassified non-coding RNA, 324 nt
Filed under: soil metagenome
Description: partial contains 5.8S ribosomal RNA, internal transcribed spacer 2, and large subunit ribosomal RNA
Rfam family: 5.8S ribosomal RNA (bases 1-120)
Source: RNAcentral
GAUGAAGAACGUAGCGAAAUGCGAUAAGUAGUGUGAAUUGCAGAAUUCAGUGAAUCAUCGAAUCUUUGAACGCACAUUGCGCCCCUUGGUAUUCCAUGGGGCAUGCCUGUUCGAGCGUCAUUUGUACCUUCAAGCUUUGCUUGGUGUUGGGUGUUUGUCCCGAGGGACUCGCCUUAAAGUAAUUGGCAGCCUGUGUUUGGUUUUGAAGCGCAGCACAAGUCGCGAUUCAAGGCUACACGCCCGCUUCCACAAGCCUUUUUUCACUUUUGACCUCGGAUCAGGUAGGGAUACCCGCUGAACUUAAGCAUAUCAAUAAGCGGAGGA